Molecule: ribosomal RNA, 339 nt
Filed under: Triticum aestivum (bread wheat)
Lineage: Eukaryota; Viridiplantae; Streptophyta; Magnoliopsida; Poales; Poaceae
Description: partial small subunit ribosomal RNA
Source: RNAcentral
AUGGGAUGGAAGGAAAGGCCACUUUCAACAGGAGGAAAGGAAUUGCUAGUCAUAUCAAUUGUACAAGCUAUACUAUCUUAUGCAAUAUCGGUUUUUGAAAUUCCAAAAUAGAUUUGCAAAGGAAUUACAGAUGCGAUGUCGCAUUAUUGGUGGGGUGAUGGUUACAAUCCGAGGAUAAUGCAUUGGUUUGUGUGGUGGAAGUUGUGUGUGGCAAAGAAAGAAGGUGGAAUGGGGUUUCGAGAUAUUCAUUAUUUUAAUCUAGCCCUACUCGCGAAACAGGCUUGGAGAUUAAUUGAUAAUCCGGAUUCCCUUUGUGCCCGUGCUCUCAAACCCAAAUAA